UAGUGACGCAGCUAACGCAAUAAGUAGACCGCCUGGGGAGUACGGCCGCAAGGUUAAAACUCAAAUGAAUNGNCGGGGGCCCGCACNAGCGGUGGAGCAUGUGGUUUANUUNGAUGCAACGCGAAGAACCUUACCUGGUCUUGACAUAUCUAGAAUCCUGCAGAGAUGCGGGAGUGCCUUCGGGAAUUAGAAUACAGGUGCUGCAUGGCUGUCGUCAGCUNGUGUCGUGAGAUGUUGGGUUAAGUCCCGCAACGAGCGCAACCCUUGUCCUUAGUUACCAGCGGGUUAAGCCGGGAACUCUAAGGAUACUGCCAGUGACAAACUGGAGGAAGGCGGGGACGACGUCAAGUCAUCAUGGCCCUUACGACCAGGGCUACACACNUGCUACAAUGGUAGGUACAGAGGGCAGCUACACAGCGAUGUGAUGCGAAUCUCAAAAAGCCUAUCGUAGUCCAGAUUGGAGUNUGCAACUCGACUCCAUGAAGUAGGAAUCGCUAGUAAUCGCGGAUCAGAAUGCCGCGGUGAAUACGUUCCCGGGCCUUGUACACACCGCCCGUCACACCAUGGGAGUUGANUGCACCAGAAGUGGUUAGCCGAACCUUUAGGACGGCG
This 612-nucleotide ribosomal RNA is filed under the name Psychrobacter celer. RNAcentral's name for it is "bacterial SSU rRNA". It matches the Rfam family "Bacterial small subunit ribosomal RNA", at positions 841 to 1452 of the family's 1533-position model. Lineage: Bacteria; Pseudomonadati; Pseudomonadota; Gammaproteobacteria; Moraxellales; Moraxellaceae. The record is from RNAcentral.